Molecule: ribosomal RNA, 497 nt
Filed under: uncultured bacterium
Lineage: Bacteria
Description: partial 16S ribosomal RNA
Rfam family: Bacterial small subunit ribosomal RNA
Source: RNAcentral
GAUGAACGCUGGCGGCGUGCCUAAUACAUGCAAGUCGAGCGAACAGACGAGGAGCUUGCUCCUCUGACGUUAGCGGCGGACGGGUGAGUAACACGUGGAUAACCUACCUAUAAGACUGGGAUAACUUCGGGAAACCGGAGCUAAUACCGGAUAAUAUAUUGAACCGCAUGGUUCAAUAGUGAAAGACGGUUUUGCUGUCACUUAUAGAUGGAUCCGCGCCGCAUUAGCUAGUUGGUAAGGUAACGGCUUACCAAGGCAACGAUGCGUAGCCGAACUGAUAGGGUGGUCGGCCACACUGGAAGUGGAACACGGUCCAGACUCCUACGGGAGGCAGCAGUAGGGAAUCUGCCGCAAUGGGCGAAAGCCUGACGGAGCAACGCCGCGUGAGUGAUGAAGGUCUUCGGAUCGGAAAACUCUGUUAUUAGGGAAGAACAAAUGUGUAAGUAACUAUGCCCGUCUUGACGGUACCUAAUCAGAAAGCCACGGCUAACUACGUG